This 1364-nucleotide long non-coding RNA is filed under the name Bos indicus x Bos taurus (hybrid cattle). RNAcentral's name for it is "lncRNA (ENSBIXG00005013627.1)". Lineage: Eukaryota; Metazoa; Chordata; Mammalia; Artiodactyla; Bovidae. The record is from RNAcentral.
GAAAAAUCUUGAUCCCCAAAGGAUAUUAUAUUCUAACAGCUUACUGGAGUGAAAGAAAAUGCACUUUUCUUUCCUGUGAAACAACACUAUAUUUUAGGAAAUGAGCAGAAAUUAAGGGUUUAUUUGAUACAGGCAUGAGUGAUCAAAUCUGAAUUAGGGUUUCUUGUUUUACCACUGAUUCAUUUUGUAACCUUGGUAAACUUCUCAGCCUUUUUAGUGUGUGUGUGUGUUUUCCAUGACACUUUUAGAAACGAAACACUAUAUAAAUCUGAAAGAUUUUUGAAGAUCUUUUUAGUAUAUUAUGGUGUGUGUGACUACUUAUUUGAGAAAGUUAGAUCAUAAGUUCUAAGGUGAGAGCAAUGACAACCAUAUAUAUCAUAUUAGUUCCUUGUUAUAGAACUUUUUUAUAUUUUUCUGUUUUAGUAACUGAAAUUCCCUGGUAGCUCAGCUGGUAAAGAAUCCUGCCAUAAUGCAGAAGACCCUGGUUUGAUUCCUGGGUCAGGAAGAUCCACUGGAGAAAGGACAAGCUACCAACUCCAGUGUUCUAGGUGUCCUAGAUUUAAAGGUUACAGCUCCAACUCAAGACUCUUAAAAAGGACCUGGCAAUACAGAUGCUUUUGUGGGACCAGGUCGGACCUGCAUCAUCUUCUGGCCUAUGUGGAUUAUAUUUACACUUUUCUUUCUUGUUUUUCUUUUAAAAAAAUUUCUGGCCUUCUCUAUUGUUAUUAUGUACUCUGUUGAGCCAUUUAUUCUCUUGUUUGUCUAGAUCAGGGCUUCUCUAGAGUUGAAGUAUGUCAGUCACUUGGAGAUCUUGUUAAACUGAUAGAUUCUAGUUCAGUAGGUUUGGAGUGGGGCCUGAAGUUCUGUUUCUUUCAUGCUUCUUAAAUACUGCUGCUGCUGCUGCUGCUAUGUCGCUAGCCAAUCUGAGCCUCGGCUACUCUAUCUGCUUCUUAAAUGCUUUCCCAUAAUGUCCUAAGGUGUUUCUCAUGGUAGAUUUCCCUGAAGCACUCUUAUAACCGCUACACAUGACUACCCUUUUCUUCCUUAUAGUGGUAUCUUCUACCUUGACUUCUCUAGUUAUAAUUCUCCUGCCUACCACUCUGUUUGUUACUGUUUUCACGGGCUUCCCUGUGGCUCAGAUGUUAAAGGAUCUGCCUGCAAUGUGGGAGACCUAGGUUCGAUCCCUGGGGCAGGAAGAUCCCCUGGAGACAGGAAUGGCAACCCACUCCAGUAUUCUUGUCUGGAGAAUUCCAUAGACAGAGGAGCCUAGUGGACUACAGACCAUGGGGUCUCAAAGAGUCAGACGUAUCUGAGCGACUCACUUUCAUGUUCAUUCAUUCCUCCACGCUGUAAUUUAGUUUUGC